RNAcentral lists this unclassified non-coding RNA (1793 nucleotides) under Hevea brasiliensis (rubber tree). The record is from RNAcentral. Lineage: Eukaryota; Viridiplantae; Streptophyta; Magnoliopsida; Malpighiales; Euphorbiaceae.
GUCUUUACCAACAUCGAAAUAUGCAUACCAUUUAAAAUACAAUCUACUGUGAUACAAAAUUAGUCACAAGGCGUAAGACCUUGCAGCAAAAUAACAAGUAUACUUCUACACAAGGUUUUUUACCAUGUAAGGACCUUCAAGCUCAUAGCCUAGCUUUCUGUAGUAAUGCCGGGUCCCUACACCCGAUAUAACAGCGAUUUUGGUCGACCUAUGCUCCCUCCGAGCAAUCCGCUCAGCCUCCUCCAUCAGCAGAGUGCCAUAACCCUGGUGCUGCAGCUUAUCUGUGUCUCGACCAUGAACAGGAACUGCAGUCCCAUACACAUGAAGCUCACGAACAAUUGAACACCUUCCCGUAAGUUCUGGGCAAGUCACAUUCCGUCCACACUUCCGCAGCCGUAGCAAUCCAACAAGAAUAUCCUGGCGUGUAUCUUCAUAUGAAAGGAAAGUCUCCCAUCCUUCAUUUGCAGUAUAAUCGCGGCGAACAAGCUCAACCUCUUCAGGCCUUAUCUUGUUGUGAAUGUCCUGGAUCCCAGCUUCGCGUGUUCGGACAUCUCGGCAUUUCAAGCCAAGAUCAUCCAUUCGAGCUAAAGCCAGUUCUCGGAGAUUCCCUUUCUCAACUCCAGAAGUCACUAGAGGCAUAGGGAUAUCACGUUGGACCCGGUAAACUCGGGUCCAGGGUGGCACCAUAGAAAGAAUCCUUGCUACAAUGUCUACAAGCUGCUCUGGCGGAUAAUUUCUAUACCUUCCAGUUUUCCACAGUUCAUAGAGUCCUGUGCCACGAAUAACAAGUGUAGGAUAAAUUUUAAGUCCAUCAGUCCUAAAUGAAGGACUUUCAAAGAAUUCCUUGAAACUCUCCAAGUCUCUUUCAACGCCAACAUUUGGAAGGUCCGGCAUCAUAUGAGCAACCACCUUGAAGCCAGCAUCUUUUGCCAAACAAAAGCAAUCAGCCACAGCUGCAACAGUGUGGCCUCUAUUGGUGUCACGAGCAACAUCCUCAUACGUACUCUGUACUCCAAUUUCUAGCCGCGUACAACCGUAAGAAAGCAUUUGUCUCAGAUGAGGUCCAAGGCAGUAGUCUGGCCUCGUUUCAAUUGUCAUCCCAAUGCACUUUGUCGCCCCAUGUUCAGAGUAUGCGACAGCCUCUUCAACAUUGGCAGAAGUAUGUCCGGAUAAAGCAUCAUGGAGAUUCCGUGUGAAGUAAUCACGGUAUUCAGCAGGCAAUGACAUGAAUGUACCUCCCAUCAAGAUAAAUUCAACCUUGUCAACACUGUGACCCAAUCUCUUAAGUUGAUCAAUCCGGCUUCGAGCUUGUACAUAAGGAUUGUAUCUAGCUCGAAUAGCUCGCAUACUAGUAGGUUCAUAUCCCGUGUAUGACUGUGUACUGUACUCAAAAUCAGAAUCGGGGCCGCCAGGGCAAUAGACACAAAUGUUUCCGGUGGUAGCUAUAUGAGGACAACGAUGAGGCUUGGACAUUACAGCUACGACAGCUAUUCCAGAGGCUGUACGGACAGGCUUGGCUCGGAGUUUGGGAAGCAGUGUUUCACGUUCAGAGUCAGGCAAAGCAGCGAUCAUCUCUACCAACUUAGGAGCCCGAGAGAGCCCGUAUUUUCGGCACGCUGCUGACUUUAGCGCAUUUAGGUCAACAUCCUUGCCUUUCCGUGAGAGUUCCACCAUGUUGUUAACGAUCUCCGUUAUAGCACGAACUCUAGCUUCUUCUUCUGUCAGGCCGAGGGAAACAACUCCGCCCCUUCCCGGCCGCGGGAGCUUCCGGGUCUCCGCUACCGCUACCGCCG